RNAcentral lists this ribosomal RNA (558 nucleotides) under uncultured Campylobacterota bacterium. RNAcentral's name for it is "bacterial SSU rRNA". It matches the Rfam family "Bacterial small subunit ribosomal RNA", at positions 916 to 1479 of the family's 1533-position model. The record is from RNAcentral. Lineage: Bacteria; Pseudomonadati; Campylobacterota.
GGGACCCGCACAAGUGGUGGAGCAUGUGGUUUAUUCGGAAGAUACGCGAAGAACCUUACCUGGCCUUGACAUUGAUAGAAUCUGCUAGAGAUAGCGGAGUGCCCUUCGGGGAGCUUGAAAACAGGUGCUGCACGGCUGUCGUCAGCUCGUGUCGUGAGAUGUUGGGUUAAGUCCCGCAACGAGCGCAACCCUCGUCACUAGUUACUAACGGUUCGGCCGAGGACUCUAGUGAGACUGCCUUCGUAAGGAGGAGGAAGGUGAGGACGACGUCAAGUCAUCAUGGCCCUUACGGCCAGGGCGACACACGUGCUACAAUGGGAUGUACAAUGAGACGCAAUACCGCGAGGUGGAGCAAAUCUAUAAAGCAUCUCUCAGUUCGGAUUGUAGUCUGCAACUCGACUACAUGAAGCUGGAAUCACUAGUAAUCGUAGAUCAGCCAUGCUACGGUGAAUACGUUCCCGGGUCUUGUACUCACCGCCCGUCACGCCAUGGGAGUUGAUUUCACCCGAAGCGGGGAAGCUAAACUGGCUACCCUCCACGGUGGAAUCAGCGACUGGG